Molecule: long non-coding RNA, 274 nt
Organism: Carcharodon carcharias (great white shark)
Lineage: Eukaryota; Metazoa; Chordata; Chondrichthyes; Lamniformes; Lamnidae
Exons: 3
Source: RefSeq, a predicted model, not a curated record
ACUGUAAUCUCAACGGUGGAUCAUUCCAUCCAGAGAAGCAGCAGGAGAUGCUGGGAGCUGGGGCUAAGAACUCAAAAUAUCAUGUAUCAGCAAUCAUUUUUGGUAAUGGUGCGUAAACGUUCCUCAAUCUAGAAAAUUCAAGGCAGCACUCUGUUCCAGAGGAUGUCUUUCAGACACAGCAGAACCUGAGGGGGCUCGAAGUGCAGUAAGACAUUCUGAAAUACACCCUACUUCUAACUUAGCACCCAGUUGCACAGGUGAAGACACAAUUUUU